UCCUUGAUAGUCUAGUGGUCAGGAUAUCUGCUUGUCAUCGGAGUCAUUCCAUGAAAUCGCAGGGGACCUGGGUUCAAUUCCCAGUCAGGGAG
Molecule: transfer RNA, 92 nt
Organism: Colletotrichum tofieldiae
Lineage: Eukaryota; Fungi; Ascomycota; Sordariomycetes; Glomerellales; Glomerellaceae
Rfam family: tRNA
About the family: Transfer RNA (tRNA) molecules are approximately 80 nucleotides in length. Their secondary structure includes four short double-helical elements and three loops (D, anti-codon, and T loops).
Source: Rfam